UCGAGGUGUAAGGUACAUAUUUGUCCCUUACAUAUUUGUACCUUAAUGUUUAAAUAUAAAAUAGCAGGAAUUAGUGGAUGCUGAAAAUGUCAUCUCUCAAUAUAGAAACACAAGUUAACCUAUACUAUCAAACUCAAUAAUUGUCAAACUAAAUUAACUGUAAAGUUUUGAGAUAUGGGCAAAAUAAAUCAGAAUGUGUAAAGUUUUGAGAUAUGGGCAAAAUAAAUCAGAAUGUGUAAAGUUUUGAGAUAUGGGCAAAAUAAAUCAGAAUUUUUUUUUUUGUUUGUUUGUUUUUUUGUGAAGUGUCCCUUUGAAUCAUUUUUAAUCAUGUUAAUGAGGAUUAUGUAAUCAUUUAUAUUCACAAACAGUAUUGAAGAAUUUGAUUUUCAAACCCUUUACCCUAUUUAUAUUAGAAUAAAACAGACAAAUAAUUGUUAACGCUUUAAGUUGUGUUCUAUUGAAAGGAUCUAGCUACAGGCUAACCAGAGUUUGACUCGGCGGAAGCAUAAAUAUUGCAGCGCGGAAGGAUACAUGAGUGAAUCGACAGUGAUCCAACUGUCAGUGUCGAUCAAAGGUGGGAGGAUGGCGCUUCGACAUUUAUCCACGGAAGAUUUAAUCACGGAGUUAUUUAAUUUUGGGAUAGAGGUCACUGAAGAGGAGAGAAGUAAAUUCAAAGAUAAUGAAGUUGACGGAGAAGCAGUGGACUAUGGAUUGACUGAGAGGAUUAUUUCAUGCCUCUUUGAAGGAUCGUUUAAGAAGCAAGCCAAAUUCAACCGAUUUGUUCAGCAGUUCUAAACAUACACACAGAUUGGGCAUUAUGUGGAAAACUAUUAAUUCCUCUUUCUUUCUGUCAUCACUAUUACGCCUACUUGGUGAAAUAUGAACAGGACUGGACUGUCCUUGACCCUUUUGAGGUGAUGGAUUUUCAUGCUUUGGAUACAUACUGUGUCGAUGAUAAACUGUUUGUUAGUAUGCGGCAUUUAUGUUAAGCUGUGUUGGGAGGGUUGUAGAGCGUUGUGGAUGAGCUCAAAGCUUGUGUUUUUUAAUCCAGAACACAUCAAGUGUCAUGUAGUUUAUCCGUUAAGUGACUCUCUUUACUUUGGUGUGGUGUGCUAAAGUGUUUUGCUUGGUCUUUGAUAAUAAACAUGUUUUUCUGCACUAUAUUGCUGUUCUUAUUAGUGAUGUUCAUGAAAUUGAAAGAAGGAAAAUAUAAAUGGUUCCAUUGUAUUUAUUCCCUGCUAUGCAUCUAUUCUCUGAUAUCGCUGUUCAUUUUGUUUUUGGAGUGGCAGUAAGUUGUCAGUUGGUCAGUGAAAUGCUUCUUAAAAAAUGUAAUCAAUUAUUUUUAAUGUUUUUUAUAUCAGACAUGACAUCCUAAACAUUGUGGCAUUUUAUUUUGGGAUGUUACAUUGUAUGGUUGUGAGAUGAAUUAUUAUUGAAUCGGUGAAUUCAACUGUUUUCCAUUUAAGGACUAAAAUAAAUGUCUAAAAUUCA
Cyprinus carpio carpio is the source of this 1491-nucleotide long non-coding RNA. The record is from Ensembl. Lineage: Eukaryota; Metazoa; Chordata; Actinopteri; Cypriniformes; Cyprinidae.